RNAcentral lists this ribosomal RNA (117 nucleotides) under Sinocyclocheilus anshuiensis. Lineage: Eukaryota; Metazoa; Chordata; Actinopteri; Cypriniformes; Cyprinidae. The record is from RNAcentral.
UUUCUUGAUUAUAUCACCCUGCAGCCCAAGACUGGUUGCCCACUGAAACUAAGCAGGUUUGAGCCUGGUCAGUACCUGGAUGGGAGACCUCGUGGGAAAACUAGGUUGCUGUUGGAA